This 419-nucleotide ribosomal RNA is filed under the name bacterium. Its description in RNAcentral is "partial 16S ribosomal RNA". It matches the Rfam family "Bacterial small subunit ribosomal RNA", at positions 355 to 776 of the family's 1533-position model. The record is from RNAcentral.
UGGGGGAUAUUGCACAAUGGGCGAAAGCCUGAUGCAGCGACGCCGCGUGGGGGAUGAAGGCCUUCGGGUUGUAAACUUCUUUUGCUCUGAACAAGGCGCACCAUGGGGUGUGUUGAGUGUAGGGGUUGAUUAGCGCCGGCUAACUACGUGCCAGCAGCCGCGGUAAUACGUAGGGCGCGAGCGUUGUCCGGAAUUAUUGGGCAUAAAGGGCUUGUAGGUGGCUGGUUGCGUCUGUCGUGAAAGCUCAUGGCUUAACUGUGGGUUUGCGGUGGGUACGGGCUGGCUUGAGUGCAGUAGGGGAGGCUGGAAUUCCUGGUGUAGCGGUGGAAUGCGCAGAUAUCAGGAGGAAUACCGGUGGCGAAGGCGGGUCUCUGGGCUGUUACUGACACUGAGGAGCGAAAGCAUGGGGAGCGAACAGG